This 519-nucleotide ribosomal RNA is filed under the name uncultured eukaryote. RNAcentral's name for it is "bacterial SSU rRNA". It matches the Rfam family "Eukaryotic small subunit ribosomal RNA", at positions 1161 to 1703 of the family's 1831-position model. The record is from RNAcentral.
GGGCCACCACCAGGGGAGGCUGCUGCUUAUUUUUUUUACUCAACACGAAAAAACUCUGCCGGUGCGGACACCGGGAGGGUUGAAUGAAUGAGAGUUCUUUGUUUAGUCGGAGGGUGGUGGUGGAUGGCCGUUCUUAGGUGGAGGAGUGAUUUGGCUGGAUAAUUCCAAUGACCAACGAUAUUCUGGACUAUUAAAUAGACGGAAUCUCGAAUAGUAUAUCGCGCUUCUUAGAGGGACAAGCGGUGUCUAGCCGCAUGAAAUAGAGCAAUCACAGGUGUGUGAUGCCCUUAGAUGUCCGGGGCUGCACGCGCGCUACACUGAAGAAUCAUGGUGCGCUUUACCUAGUUCGGAAGAACCGGGUAACCCAAUGUAAAUUCUUUCGUGCUUGGGAUAAGUGAAUUGCAAUUAUUUCGCUUAAACAAGGAAUUGCCAGUGAGAGCGGGUCAUAAGCUCUGGUUGAUUACGUGCCUGUUCUAUGUACACACCGUCCGUACUUGCGAUGGACUGAGUCGUUGCGAG